RNAcentral lists this ribosomal RNA (253 nucleotides) under uncultured bacterium. RNAcentral's name for it is "partial 16S ribosomal RNA". It matches the Rfam family "Bacterial small subunit ribosomal RNA", at positions 524 to 776 of the family's 1533-position model. The record is from RNAcentral.
UACGGAGGGUGCAAACGUUGCUCGGAAUCAUUGGGCGUAAAGCGCACGUAGGCGGCCUGAUAAGUCGGAUGUGAAAGCCCUGGGCUCAACCCAGGAAGUGCACUCGAAACUGACCGGCUUGAAUAUGGAAGAGGGUCGCGGAAUUCCCGGUGUAGAGGUGAAAUUCGUAGAUAUCGGGAGGAACACCAGUGGCGAAGGCGGCGACCUGGGCCAAUAUUGACGCUGAGGUGCGAAAGCGUGGGGAGCAAACAGG